GACGAACGCUGGCGGCGUGCCUAAUACAUGCAAGUAGAACGCACAGUUUAUACCGUAGCUUGCUACACCAUAGACUGUGAGUUGCGAACGGGUGAGUAACGCGUAGGUAACCUGCCUGGUAGUGGGGGAUAACUAUUGGAAACGAUAGCUAAUACCGCAUAAUAUUAAUUAUUGCAUGAUAAUUAAUUGAAAGGUGCAAUUGCACCACUACCAGAUGGACCUGCGUUGUAUUAGCUAGUAGGUGAGGUAACGGCUCACCUAGGCGACGAUACAUAGCCGACCUGAGAGGGAGAUCGGCCACACUGGGACUGAGACACGGCCCAGACUCCUUCGGGAGGCAGCAGUAGGGAAUCUUCGGCAAUGGACGAAAGUCUGACCGAGCAACGCCGCGGGGGUUAAGAAGGUUUUCGGAUCGUAAAGCUCUGUUGUAAGAGAAGAACGGGUGUGAGAGUGGAAAGUUCACACUGUGACGGUAUCUUACCAGAAAGGGACGGCUAACUACGUG
Molecule: ribosomal RNA, 505 nt
Filed under: uncultured bacterium
Lineage: Bacteria
Description: partial 16S ribosomal RNA
Rfam family: Bacterial small subunit ribosomal RNA
Source: RNAcentral